UAAUUCAUCUGCAAACUUAAUUCCUUUUGGCAGGUAAACUAAAAUAUUUGUGGAUUCUCUGGAUGACAACAUGAACAUUUUUGGAGUGGUUGUUGUUCUGCCUAUAAUGAGUAGUUACUGAGCUGGAGUGGAUGGAUACAAGAGUUGAUUAACAAGAGCACAUGUGAUGCUAUAGUCCAGGAGGCCCUUACCAGACCUGAGCUGAUACCAGCACCAUGCCACUGCACCUCCAGAAUGAACCAGCCCUACAUGAGCCUCUCUUAUCAUCACAGAGGAAAAGAGAAAAAGAAUGGUCAAAAUGUGCAAUGGCUCUUACAGCUUUUGUACAUAUGUCAUUAAAUUAUAUCCCCUCACGCACCAUUGGAUAAAGCAACUCAUAUGGCCAAGCUCACUGGAGUUGAGGAUAUACAAUCCUUUAUGCUCCAGACUCAAGCAAUCACAUUCAAAAUUUUGAGAUCUCUGAGGUGCCCCUUGCCCAUGAGAGACAACUACUAACUAAAUUGGUCUGAUGGUGAAUUAUCUGAGCAACUGCCAUAGAAAUGCUCUACAGCCAGUGGAGACUAAAGAGAUAACACAAUCCUGUACAGCACUGAACACUGAAGAUCCGGUGGAACAUUGGUAAAGCUAUUACAGAAUCCCUCCAAGGGUGACAGCUCCAAAUCUCACUCGGGGGCUGCCUCCAACCUGAAGCAGGAGAUCUCCUGGGCAUGGGAGAAGCUGGGCAUGGCUCCUCUGGUCCUCAGCCUGCUGACAGAGCGAUACAAGACAUCCGCCUUCUCAUCGUACCUGGGAUGCAGUAGCAGGACACAGAAGGGAAUCUCAUACUUGAUUUAUAUUUUCCAGGGCAAUAGAGGAACCACAGAAGAGUUAAUGUCCCAUAGAAACUCUGAAAUCCUGCAGAGAGGGCCAAAAAGUAGUCAAAAGUUCCCUAGCAUGAGGAGCUGGUCAUUCAUUAGACUCUUCUGCUUUCUGAAACAAACAUAUCUGUCCACUGUUCAACUUGACCCUAGCUCUGGGGCAGAUAUUUUCUUAUAUAGCCAAAUUUGAAAUUGGAUUUCAGGGAUAUUAGCUCCUUGAGAAACCUUUUAUCACUGCUCUUGACUUCUGAAAGUCUUCUUGUUUCUUCAUAACAAAAAUAAACUAAUUUGAGAAACACACAGCACUGGAUCUGCUAAAACAAGAGCCAAAGGUAGCAUUGCAGCAUCAAAUCAGAAGGGUUGGGUAGAGCAUAGUUUGCCAGCACUAAUAAGUAUCUGAAUUUCCUGUCUCCCUAAACAUAUAGGCUAACAACUUUGAGCACCUUAGAGACAGGUCUGUACCAUGUAACUGAGAUGGAGCCCCAUGCUUAAAAUGACAUAAGCCACAUCCUGAAAAUGAGUCCAUACUUGAGGGCAGGGACAGAAUACACGUGCUCACUCUUAGAGGAAUUUUUACAAAACAAACUAAAUCUAAAGUAUUCUGUCACUGACACCUUAAUACACUGGUAAAUAUUUCAGUUGGAGGAAUUAAGCUAGCCCUAACUAUAAUAAUGGACCUAUCAAGUUCAUGAAAUAAUUUUCCCCUCUGAUUAAAAUAACCGCUUCUAAACUCAAAUAUGGGUUUGUCUUUCAGCUCAGGAUUUGGAGAAUGAGCAACUGUUGAGAUAUUGUCAUGUAUCAGGUGCUUUAAAUGUUUAAAAGUAUUAAAGUCUAGAUUAUAAAAUCUAUUUAAAUGAGUGAAGAGAGUUAAAUAGAUAUGCUGACAAAACAAAGAUAAUAAAUCUUAAA
This is a non-coding RNA of Heterocephalus glaber (naked mole-rat), 1766 nucleotides long. The record is from RefSeq and is a predicted model, not a curated record. NCBI's taxonomy places the organism in Eukaryota, Metazoa, Chordata, Mammalia, Rodentia, Bathyergidae.